This 86-nucleotide transfer RNA is filed under the name Felis catus (domestic cat). It matches the Rfam family "tRNA". From Rfam's summary of the family: Transfer RNA (tRNA) molecules are approximately 80 nucleotides in length. Their secondary structure includes four short double-helical elements and three loops (D, anti-codon, and T loops). The record is from Rfam by way of RNAcentral. Lineage: Eukaryota; Metazoa; Chordata; Mammalia; Carnivora; Felidae.
GCCUGGGUGGCUCAGUCGGUUGAGCGUCCCGACUUCGACUCAGGUCAUGAUCUCGCAGUUCGUGGGUUCAAACCCCACGUCGGGCU